Molecule: unclassified non-coding RNA, 416 nt
Filed under: Hevea brasiliensis (rubber tree)
Lineage: Eukaryota; Viridiplantae; Streptophyta; Magnoliopsida; Malpighiales; Euphorbiaceae
Source: RNAcentral
CUUCUGAAGGCUGUUAAUGGGAAAUUCAGGAAUCAUCCUUGUCUUAAUAAACAGAAGCUACUAUAUGCUCCAAUGGGGGAGCUUUUAAUUCUACAGCCAGAUGAGAAAUUCUCACCUCAUCAUUAUCUCCUUCCCUCAGGCAGUGGUCUAUAUUUCUUAACUUGUCCAUCAUCUGACACUAGUGAUGCAGAGAAGCUGCUGCGGGCUGCACAGACAGUUUUCUUAAACUCACCCCAUCCACUUGAGAUUCUAAGUGAUCGCUCAGCAUAUGGUUCUGAAGGAACCAUUCAAAGGGAUCACGACAUGAAUUCUUACUUGAAAUCUGUGCGCAGUGUAAUUCGGCAAGAGCUAAACCACAUAAGAAAACGUAGGAGAGAGCAUCGCCGCAAGUUCUGGUGGUCCCUUCUGGCACCACG